CUACUCCGGCGUUCUUGUCGGGCGAGUGUGGUGCUGAAAAGUCGCUUAUCCGGGAUCCCUGCGAGAUCUCUGAGGGAUGAGCUGGCGUCCCAGGCUGGCCAUGUGGCGCGAAGUAUGCGCACAAAAAAGUCAAACAAGAAGGCGCAAUUUUAUUACGGGCAACCCACGACGAAACAAAACAAAAGCCAGCCGAAAAGCAGAAACAAAGCAACAAAAAGUUUAUGAAUUUUUUGUGCAGGCGCGUGAAAGAUGCAAAACGAGAAAAAAACAUAAAAAAACAAAAAAUCCAAAACAGAUACCGAGCUGUAUCCGAAAACGAGAGGGGAAAGGCGUUUCCCAGUCACAUAUAAACACACUUCAGUGCGCUUAAAAAUUGCUUUAUUGCAGUUGGACUAUAAAAACGCACGGCAGCGAACACCGCAACACAAAAAGGACGAGUUGAAGUGGGCAAAUAAAAGGAAAGCUCUUAAACGAAAAACAGGAAAAUUUGCAUGCCACAAAAAUAAGCAUAAGGAUUUGCCGCGCACAAAAAGGAAUUGCCCAAAUGCAGCCACAAAAGACUGUGGCAAAUGUUUUGCAGCUUGCCGCUUUUUCCCUGCAAUUACCGUCAGUCGUUGUCAUUAUUCAGCAGAUUAUAUGGUUUUGCUUAUUCCGGACCACCAUCAUCAUUAUUAUCAUCAUCAUCAUCGGUAAGUUAGACAAUCCCAUUAAAACUGUCCCAGUGAGUAGUGCCACCAAAAGUUAGCCGCGUUGUGGAAAAUCCAAAACAAGGACCAUCCCAUCUUCAGCCUUUGAGAGUUCCAUGCUUCCUUGCAUUCAAUAGUUAUACUCAAGCAUAUGGAAUGUAAAGAAGUAUGGAGCGAAAUCUGGCGAGACAUCGGAGUUGAAACUGAAAUUUAAUUGAAUCAGAAGUUGAACCUCAAUAUAAAAUUUUCCAUGGAAAUGGAAAUGGAAAUGGAAAUUAAAACCAACCCGUUUCUACGAUCCCUGAAUAAAAUUAUUAAUUAAUUAUAGAGCGGGCUAAUUUUACAACAUAUAUUGAGUUUUUCUUUUUUUAAAUGUUAAAAGUAUCUACCACCCACAAAUACCAUUCCACCACAAGCAUUAAGUGAAAUGAAAUAUGAAAAUGAUUAAAUAUCACUAAGCCACCCACAGAUUCGGCAAAAAGCAGAAACCACGCACACAGAUGGAAAAAGAAACAGGCAGCAGAAUAAAUAUUAAAUAUGAACAUCAAUUUAAAUACUUUGCUGAUGAAAAAUGCAAGUGAGCCAUGCUAAAAAUAGCAAGUACGUAAGCAAUUCUAUCGACAACAAACAUUCGAGAUAUUUUCAAAAAUAUUUUCGUGUAUUUGAAGAGCACACACAUGUGGGCCCUGGUGUAUAAAUAUACAAAUGGGAUUUUGUGUAAUACGGAUCGCAUUUCGCCUUCUGUCUGUCCGACGUUGUUUAAAAAUAAAUCCAUUCGGACUUUGGGCGUUUAGUUUAGUUGCGCGGAGUACGGGGCCCGCUAUUAAAUAACACUCGGGCUUCAGGCCACGCAGAGCCAGUUCGAAUUGCAGUUAAGCACCCGGGCAGCCGGGUGGAGCACAGUAAGCCCUCGGAACAGAAACAUGUGGAUCCAUGUGCGCCAAAGUGGAUUUACCAACUUGAAAUUAUCGCCGAGCAUGUGGCGCCAUCCAGCGGCGGUGGGCGGCACCUCGCUCCGCGGAACGCAAGCAACUGCGGGAUGGAAAGACGACGUGCACAGCAUGUGCAGAAUGGUGCAUAUGCCAGCCCCUCGCAGCCCUUUUCCUUGUCUCUUUCCCCAUUUUCCAUUUUCCAUUUCCCGGCCCGCUUUUCCUCAGCUCUGCGGAGCGCAUUAAGAGCAAAGGCAAAGUGCGCUAAAUUGAUGAGCGUCACGUGCGUUUUGCUCACUCGGUGCCCGCCCCCUUGCAGCGGUGUCAUCCGACGAGAGUGGGCGUGGUCGGCGUCAGUGCUGAUCGAGUUAAUGAAUCGCGAGUAGAGCCAUACACCUCAGGUUUUCCCGGAAAAUGGAACACAUAUUCCCUAGGAUUAAAACAAUAACGAUCACAUUUUGAGUUUCGAAAUAUUUGUUUUCAAUUUAUCCAAAAUUAAAGAAAAACUUUUACAUGAA
Long non-coding RNA from Drosophila sechellia, 2133 nucleotides. RefSeq lists it as uncharacterized. NCBI's taxonomy places the organism in Eukaryota, Metazoa, Arthropoda, Insecta, Diptera, Drosophilidae. The transcript has 2 exons. The record is from RefSeq and is a predicted model, not a curated record.